CGGGUGAGUAACACGUGAGUGACCUGCCUUUUAGACUGGAACAACUUACCGAAAGGUGAGCUAAUGCCGGAUGAGUUAUAUAAGUGCAUGUUUAUAUAGGAAAAGUUGGGGAGACCUGACGCUGAAAGAUGGACUCGCGUCCCAUUAGCUAGUUGGUAGGGUAAUGGCCUACCAAGGCGACGAUGGGUAGCCGGCCUGAGAGGGUGGCCGGCCACGCUGGGACUGAGACACGGCCCAGACUCCUACGGAAGGCAGCAG
This 258-nucleotide ribosomal RNA is filed under the name uncultured bacterium. RNAcentral's name for it is "partial 16S ribosomal RNA". It matches the Rfam family "Bacterial small subunit ribosomal RNA", at positions 103 to 354 of the family's 1533-position model. The record is from RNAcentral.